AACCUAGCACACCUGCGGUGUGUACCUGCGGAGGGAUCAUUAACGAGUUACCACUCUAUAACCCUUUGUGAACAUACCUACAUGUUGCUUCGGCGGUCGGCCCCCCCGGGCCCCCGGCCCCGCUCACGCGGGGCGUCCGCCGGAGGAUAACCAAACUCUGAUUUAACGACGUUUCUUCUGAGUGGCACAAGCAAAUAAUCAAAACUUUUAACAACGGAUCU
RNAcentral lists this unclassified non-coding RNA (221 nucleotides) under soil metagenome. RNAcentral's name for it is "partial contains 5.8S ribosomal RNA, internal transcribed spacer 2, and large subunit ribosomal RNA". The record is from RNAcentral.